AUUGAACGCUGGCGGCAGGCCUAACACAUGCAAGUCGAGCGGAUGAAGGGAGCUUGCUCCUGGAUUCAGCGGCGGACGGGUGAGUAAUGCCUAGGAAUCUGCCUGGUAGUGUGGGAUAACGUCCGGAAACGGGCGCUAAUACCGCAUACGUCCUGAGGGAGAAAGGGGGGGAUCUUCGGACCUCACGCUAUCAGAUGAGCCUAGGUCGGAUUAGCUAGUUGGUGGGGUAAAGGCCUACCAAGGCGACGAUCCGUAACUGGUCUGAGAGGAUGAUCAGUCACACUGGAACUGAGACACGGUCCAGACUCCUACGGGAGGCAGCAGUGGGGAAUAUUGGACAAUGGGCGAAAGCCUGAUCCAGCCAUGCCGCGUGUGUGAAGAAGGUCUUCGGAUUGUAAAGCACUUUAAGUUGGGAGGAAGGGCAGUAAGUUAAUACCUUGCUGUUUUGACGUUACCAACAGAAUAAGCACCGGCUAACUUCGUG
RNAcentral lists this ribosomal RNA (484 nucleotides) under uncultured bacterium. RNAcentral describes it as "partial 16S ribosomal RNA". It matches the Rfam family "Bacterial small subunit ribosomal RNA", at positions 30 to 507 of the family's 1533-position model. The record is from RNAcentral.